AUACGUAGGGGGCGAGCGUUGUCCGGAAUGAUUGGGCGUAAAGGGCGCGUAGGCGGCGCGGUAAGUCUGGAGUGAAAGUCCUGCUUUCAAGGUGGGAAUUGCUUUGGAUACUGCCGCGCUUGAGUGCAGGAGAGGUUAUCGGAAUUCCCGGUGUAGCGGUGAAAUGCGUAGAGAUCGGGAGGAACACCAGUGGCGAAGGCGGGUAACUGGACUGCAACUGACGCUGAGGCGCGAAAGUGUGAGGAGCAAACAGGAUUAGAUACCCUGGUAGUCCACUCUGUAAACGAUGAAUGCUAGGUGUAAGAGGUAUCGACCCCUUUUGGGCCGGAGUCAACACAAUAAGCAUGCCGCCUGGGGAGUACGGCCGAAAGGUUGAAACUCAAAUGAAUUGGAGGG
RNAcentral lists this ribosomal RNA (396 nucleotides) under uncultured bacterium. RNAcentral's name for it is "partial 16S ribosomal RNA". It matches the Rfam family "Bacterial small subunit ribosomal RNA", at positions 523 to 917 of the family's 1533-position model. The record is from RNAcentral.